UUUAUGGAGAGUUUGAUCCUGGCUCAGGAUGAACGCUGGCGGCGUGCCUAAUACAUGCAAGUCGAGCGAACGGACGAGAAGCUUGCUUCUCUGAUGUUAGCGGCGGACGGGUGAGUAACACGUGGAUAACCUACCUAUAAGACUGGGAUAACUUCGGGAAACCGGAGCUAAUACCGGAUAAUAUUUUGAACCGCAUGGUUCAAAAGUGAAAGACGGUCUUGCUGUCACUUAUAGAUGGAUCCGCGCUGCAUUAGCUAGUUGGUAAGGUAACGGCUUACCAAGGCAACGAUGCAUAGCCGACCUGAGAGGGUGAUCGGCCACACUGGAACUGAGACACGGUCCAGACUCCUACGGGAGGCAGCAGUAGGGAAUCUUCCGCAAUGGGCGAAAGCCUGACGGAGCAACGCCGCGUGAGUGAUGAAGGUCUUCGGAUCGUAAAACUCUGUUAUUAGGGAAGAACAUAUGUGUAAGUAACUGUGCACAUCUUGACGGUACCUAAUCAGAAAGCCACGGCUAACUACGUGCCAGCAGCCGCGGUAAUACGUAGGUGGCAAGCGUUAUCCGGAAUUAUUGGGCGUAAAGCGCGCGUAGGCGGUUUUUUAAGUCUGAUGUGAAAGCCCACGGCUCAACCGUGGAGGGUCAUUGGAAACUGGAAAACUUGAGUGCAGAAGAGGAAAGUGGAAUUCCAUGUGUAGCGGUGAAAUGCGCAGA
RNAcentral lists this ribosomal RNA (711 nucleotides) under Staphylococcus aureus. Its description in RNAcentral is "bacterial SSU rRNA". It matches the Rfam family "Bacterial small subunit ribosomal RNA", at positions 1 to 694 of the family's 1533-position model. Lineage: Bacteria; Bacillati; Bacillota; Bacilli; Caryophanales; Staphylococcaceae. The record is from RNAcentral.